UACGGAACCAUCUACAUCGAAUGCGUAUAACUUCUAUUGAAAGGUUCCAGAGUAGGCGCUACAACGCCGAAAUGACCUUCUGACCCUUGUUUCUCACUAUGUUGCUUUGGCGGGUCGACCUGGUUCCGACCCAGGCGGCCGGCGCCCCCAGCCUUAACUGGCCAGGACGCCCGGCUAAGUGCCCGCCAGUAUACAAAACUCAAGAAUUCAUUUUGUGAAGUCCUGAUAUAUCAUUUAAUUGAUUAAAACUUUCAACAACGGAUCUCUUGGUUCUGGCAUCGAUGAAGAACGCAGCGAAAUGCGAUAAGUAAUGUGAAUUGCAGAAUUCAGUGAAUCAUCGAAUCUUUGAACGCACAUUGCGCCCUCUGGUAUUCACGGAGGCAUGCCUGUUCGAGCGUCAUUUCAACCCUCAAGCUCUGCCUGGUAUGGGGCAACGUCCGCUGCGGGACGUGCCUUGAAGAGCUCGGCGACGGCUUCCUACCCUCAAGCGUAGUAGUAAAAUAUCUCGCUUUGGAGUGCUGGGCGAGGGCGGCGGGAUAAUCGACUUUGGGUCUAUUUUUCCAAAGUUGACCUCCGAUCAGGUAGGGAUUCCCCCCUGAAUUUAGGCUAUAAUUAGCCGGGGAAAGC
RNAcentral lists this ribosomal RNA (627 nucleotides) under Phyllosticta capitalensis. Its description in RNAcentral is "eukaryotic LSU rRNA". The stretch from base 247 to 400 matches the Rfam family "5.8S ribosomal RNA". The record is from RNAcentral. Lineage: Eukaryota; Fungi; Ascomycota; Dothideomycetes; Botryosphaeriales; Phyllostictaceae.